GCAGUGGCUCUGCUCUCUCAACCAAACUGCCUCUCCUCUUCUCAUCCUUCUCUUCCUGAAAACUCGCAUCUGCCUCCAAAAUUCCUGAAAGUUCCCAGAGCGACCCAUCUUCAUCCCUCCAUCUCGCCAUCGUCGUCAUGUCACCUCGCCCCGCCGUUCAAGUUUCCGGAUACCAAGCUGUGAGUUGAAGGGGAGCAGCCCGUGUGUGUUACGCAUGUGUUGGGUUAGUGGGUAGAGAGCCAGGGCCAACCAGUGCUACUCUUGACAUUUAGAUCCGACUUUGUAUCCCCCGCUCGUCCACCUGCCUCUGUGAUGACUCCCAACACGCAGACGACUAAGGUAACCGUUUAGUCCCACACGUCAGCGGAGAAACAGGAACUGUGUACCACUCCUGUCCUGAGAAAAGGUCAGACAGAAAGGUCACGCUCAUUCUCCUGGCCUCCAUGUGACUGAUGUUGCCAUGUUGUAGGUACUGUUAUGUUUAAAACAAUGUAGACCAGCGGUUCUCAACUGAACGGCUGCCAGACUGACCAUCAACCUUUAAAAAAACAAGCUGUGACCCACAUUUUAGCAGUUACAUAAAAGUAGAGAGCAUUUAGAUAUGAAUUUAAUAUGUAUUAAAUUAUUAUUGUCCAUCAUGUAACACUUAAUUUAAUCCAAAACUGAAAAAAUAUGGAAUUAGAAUUUCCAACUUUUUGAGAAAAAAAUGAUCUUAACACUAGUUAGAUGCAUAAAAACUAAAUCUUUGUGCUACAUUACUGCCUUCUAUUGUUAGAAGUCAUACAUACAUCAUUUAAGUAUUGCACAGUAUUUUUUUGCUUUUUAUUAAAGCUGCUGGAGACUCAUUAUUAUUCUUACAUCAGAUAAAGACAUUGUAAUUUGCUAGAAAAAAAGAUUAAAAGCUUGAAAUUACCAUUUAAAAGUUUGUUUUGGUCUAGUAGUGUAAACACGUCGGAAAAGUUUCACGCAUUGCAUUGUGGGAUGUGGAGUCCCGUAGACUGAUGCACAGUAGAGUAUUUGUUUCAUUCUUAGUGUGAUUUCUUCACCAGUGACUUCCAAACACAAUGUUGGUGUUUUCAUGGACU
Molecule: long non-coding RNA, 1085 nt
Filed under: Gouania willdenowi (blunt-snouted clingfish)
Lineage: Eukaryota; Metazoa; Chordata; Actinopteri; Blenniiformes; Gobiesocidae
Description: lncRNA (ENSGWIG00000023211.1)
Source: RNAcentral